RNAcentral lists this transfer RNA (62 nucleotides) under Scutigerella causeyae. Its description in RNAcentral is "tRNA-Tyr". The record is from RNAcentral. Lineage: Eukaryota; Metazoa; Arthropoda; Symphyla; Scutigerellidae.
CAGUAAAAUGGCUGAUUAAGCGGUAAAUUGUAAAUUUAUUUAAGAUUAAAAUCUUUUGCUGG